This 253-nucleotide ribosomal RNA is filed under the name uncultured bacterium. RNAcentral describes it as "partial 16S ribosomal RNA". It matches the Rfam family "Bacterial small subunit ribosomal RNA", at positions 524 to 776 of the family's 1533-position model. The record is from RNAcentral.
GACGAACCGUGCGAACGUUGUUCGGAAUCACUGGGCUUAAAGGGCGCGUAGGCGGCUUCGCAAGUCUGUGGUGAAAGCCCCCAGCUCAACUGGGGAAGUGCCGUGGAUACUGUGAGUCUGGAGGAGGGUAGGGGCAUCUGGAACGCUGGGUGGAGCGGUGAAAUGCGUUGAUAUCCAGCGGAACUCCGGUGGCGAAGGCGAGGUGCUGGACCCUUUCUGACGCUGAUGCGCGAAAGCCAGGGGAGCAAACGGG